UACCGAAGUGGUGAAACUGGUAAACGCAUCUAAUUCAAAACUAGCUACCUUAUAGGUUUAUCGGUUCAACUCCGAUCUUCGGUAG
RNAcentral lists this transfer RNA (85 nucleotides) under Candidatus Tremblayella phenacoccinincola. RNAcentral describes it as "Candidatus Tremblaya phenacola tRNA-Leu". It matches the Rfam family "tRNA". Rfam says of the family: Transfer RNA (tRNA) molecules are approximately 80 nucleotides in length. The record is from RNAcentral. Lineage: Bacteria; Pseudomonadati; Pseudomonadota; Betaproteobacteria.